CAGCCGCCACGGUAAUACAGAGGUCUCAAGCGUUGUUCGGAUUCAUUGGGCGUAAAGGGUGCGUAGGUGGCGGUGUAAGUCUAACGUGAAAUCUCGGGGCUCAACCUCGAAAUUGCGUCGGAUACUGCAUUGCUAGAGGAUUGUAGAGGAGAGUGGAAUUCAUGGUGUAGCAGUGAAAUGCGUAGAUAUCAUGAGGAAGACCAGUUGCGAAGGCGACUCUCUGGGCAAUUCCUGACACUGAGGCACGAAGGCUAGGGGAGCAAACGGGAUUAGAUACCCCGGUAGUCCCUGUCUCUUAUAC
This 301-nucleotide ribosomal RNA is filed under the name uncultured bacterium. Its description in RNAcentral is "partial 16S ribosomal RNA". It matches the Rfam family "Bacterial small subunit ribosomal RNA", at positions 509 to 807 of the family's 1533-position model. The record is from RNAcentral.